UAUAUAUUUCACUUGCCUAUAAACAAAAUUCUGCCACUACAGAACAUAUAUAUCAUUUCAACUAGCAGUUGUCUUAGUGGCUAAAGCAACAAGAAAUUCUCUGUAAUCCCCAGAUGGAAUGCUCUCACAUAUUGCAUCUCUCAGUUCCAUCUCAUAUUUCUUCUUGAACAUCCCUUGAAUCUCAUCCAUGUCAACGUCUGCUCUGCUCAUCAUCACCCUUGUCAAGGCACCUCUAUCAGCUGUUGUCCCUCUAAUGCUGGCAUACAAUGCCUGCAACCAGUUUUUUGACAAACCUAUGAGAUUUUCCGAUGAAAAUUUCCUUUUGUAUUGUGAGUGGUUUCACAAACCAACUUAAUUAGCCGUUAAGAUAAGUUCAUUUUUUUGGUUUAAUCAAAAGUAGACCAUCCAUGUCAGACUAGAAAAUAUACAACAUGCUUAGCCUAAUCAAAAGUUAAAACCUAUAUAGAUAAAAGUAAAGAACAGAAAUUACACACCUUUGCAUAAUAAUUAGGCGGAUUGCACAUGCAUUUUAUGACUGUUUUAAGUGAAUCUUCAAAUUCCCUAGAAUUUCCCUUCUUGAGUUUCUGCAAAGUAGAGCUCAAACAAAAGAAAUCACUAGCUUAACACAGAAAUACUAAAGGGAGUUUACCAAAUAGAAUUACUGUAAUUGGUACAUUUUCAGAUUGUUAUAUGUCAGGAUUAUGAGUUCUACACUCAUACUUUUCCUUAAAAAAAAAAAAAGAAAUCAAUGAGAAUUAAUUGUCAGAUGUUAUACCGUAGUGUACUCAUGUCCAUAGAUGUGUUUAUAGCUAGAAAGCGUGAGUUUCAUCUGUGGAAUACUCCUUUUACUUAGGAUCUCAAGCACAACAGCUUCUUCACUGGCUCCUGAACACCCCUCCCCUGCUUCAUGCAGCCUCUUAGCAUCACAUUUAGCAAUAUGUUGGCUAACAUCUGCUUGGUGAGCCUUGUGUGAUGCUGCUAAUGCUACCAGAAUCUUCUGGAGUGGAUGGGGUGGUUCAAGAUUGAUAAUAUCUUGAUCCAAUUGCCUUCUGAAUCUUGAUUGAUAGGCUUGUUUGAUGAGCAUAAUAUGACUUGACUUUCUACCCACAAAGAUUUCAACAAGAGCCCUGUAGUUAGUAUCACCUUGUUCAAGAGCUUCCUUGGCCACAAUAGCAUCACGUUCAUGUGGGUGUACCAUCCACAAAGACAAGGCUGCAAAAACUUUAGAUCCAAUUUUAGCCUCAUUUCUUUGGUCACUAGAGAUACACAUCCUUUCAAGAAAACUUGUUAUAUCUUCUCCAUACAUUGCCUUGUAAGUCUCUCUAAUCUGUUGCCUUUCAAUCUUGGACUUGGUAGCUAAUGAUCGAACCAACUGGUUCACCCUUCCCCAAGAAUCAUGAAUCUCUUUGCAUUCUAUCUCGAACCCUUGGCUAGAUGAGGUUAGAAUCUUGGUUCCCAUAGCAGAAGAAUUAAGAUUCUGGGUUUCUAAUGCAUAUCAGGAAGAACCCAAUUUGUUAUUUAUAUAGGCAGAAAGCCAUGACUUGGGGCCAAGGGAAGGGAUUUCUCUUUUGUUGAUGUGGGUGUGGGUGUUCUUCAAGUUUGGAGUUUAGACCAACAAUUCAAAGUCCAUAUAAAAAGUGAAAACCAGAAGUUUCUGUGCAUUCUGAGUAGAAAGUG
Molecule: unclassified non-coding RNA, 1677 nt
Filed under: Hevea brasiliensis (rubber tree)
Lineage: Eukaryota; Viridiplantae; Streptophyta; Magnoliopsida; Malpighiales; Euphorbiaceae
Source: RNAcentral